AGGCGAGUAGUAUAAUGGAUAGCACAUGACCUUGCGGAGGUCAAGACCGGGGUUCGAUUCCCCGCUCGCCUG
Molecule: transfer RNA, 72 nt
Filed under: Candidatus Woesearchaeota archaeon
Lineage: Archaea; Nanobdellati; Candidatus Woesearchaeota
Description: tRNA-Arg
Rfam family: tRNA
About the family: Transfer RNA (tRNA) molecules are approximately 80 nucleotides in length. Their secondary structure includes four short double-helical elements and three loops (D, anti-codon, and T loops). Further hydrogen bonds mediate the characteristic L-shaped molecular structure. tRNAs have two regions of fundamental functional importance: the anti-codon, which is responsible for specific mRNA codon recognition, and the 3' end, to which the tRNAs corresponding amino acid is attached (by aminoacyl-tRNA synthetases). tRNAs cope with the degeneracy of the genetic code in two manners: having more than one tRNA (with a specific anti-codon) for a particular amino acid; and 'wobble' base-pairing, i.e. permitting non-standard base-pairing at the 3rd anti-codon position.
Source: RNAcentral